UUCCGCCUACGGGACGCAGCAGUGAGGAAUAUUGGUCAAUGGGCGGGAGCCUGAACCAGCCAAGUCGCGUGAGGGAUGACGGUCCUACGGAUUGUAAACCUCUUUUGCCGGGGAGCAAGCGUGCGUUCGUGAACGCGCGUCGAGAGUACCCGGAGAAAAAGCAUCGGCUAACUCCGUGCCAGCAGCCGCGGUAAUACGGAGGAUGCGAGCGUUAUCCGGAUUUAUUGGGUUUAAAGGGUGCGUAGGCGAGAUGCCAAGUCAGCGGUAAAAAUGCGGUGCUCAACGCCGUCGAGCCGUUGAAACUG
This 305-nucleotide ribosomal RNA is filed under the name uncultured bacterium. Its description in RNAcentral is "bacterial SSU rRNA". It matches the Rfam family "Bacterial small subunit ribosomal RNA", at positions 333 to 635 of the family's 1533-position model. The record is from RNAcentral.